This 479-nucleotide ribosomal RNA is filed under the name uncultured bacterium. RNAcentral describes it as "bacterial SSU rRNA". It matches the Rfam family "Bacterial small subunit ribosomal RNA", at positions 364 to 833 of the family's 1533-position model. The record is from RNAcentral.
UUUCGCAAUGCCCGAAAGGGUGACGAAGCGACGCCGCGUGUGGGAAGAAGGCCUUCGGGUUGUAAACCACUGUCGGGAGUUAGGAAAUGUAAGGGUGCUAAUAGUAUCCUUACUUGACUAAGGCUCCGGAGGAAGCCACGGCUAACUCUGUGCCAGCAGCCGCGGUAAUACAGAGGCGGCAAGCGUUGUUCGGAAUUAUUGGGCGUAAAGAGCACGUAGGCGGCCUUGUAAGUCAGUUGUGAAAGCCUUCUGCUUAACGGAAGAACAGCAGCUGAUACUGCAAGGCUAGAGUGCGGUAGGGGAGAGUGGAACUUCUGGUGGAGCGGUGAAAUGCGUAGAUAUCAGAAGGAACACCGGCGGCGAAGGCGACUCUCUGGUCCGUAACUGACGCUGAGUGUGCGAAAGCUAGGGGAGCAAACGGGAUUAGAUACCCCGGUAGUCCUAGCCGUAAACGAUGGGCACUAAGUAGAGGGGUUUUA